UAAUACGGAGGGUGCAAGCGUUGUUCGGAAUCACUGGGCGUAAAGGGCGUGUAGGCGGUCCGCUAAGUCUGAUGUGAAAGCCCGAGGCUUACCCUCGGAAGUGCAUUGGAGACUGGCGGACUGGAGUCCCGGAGAGGAGGGUGGAAUUCCUGGUGUAGCGGUGAAAUGCGUAGAUAUCAGGAGGAACACCGGUGGCGAAGGCGGCCCUCUGGACGGUGACUGACGCUGAGACGCGAAAGCGUGGGGAGCAAACAGGAUUAGAUACCCUGGUAGUCCACGCUGUAAACGAUGAGCACUAGGUGUCGCGGGUAUUGACCCCUGCGGUGCCGACGCUAACGCAUUAAGUGCUCCGCCUGGGGAGUACGGUCGCAAGAUUA
Molecule: ribosomal RNA, 377 nt
Filed under: uncultured bacterium
Lineage: Bacteria
Description: bacterial SSU rRNA
Rfam family: Bacterial small subunit ribosomal RNA
Source: RNAcentral